UCAGCCCUACUCAGAGUCCUUGCCUCUGUUCACCUCCUAGGGCCCCCUUUCCUCCAAGGGAAUCUCAACUAACCAUUACUGAGAACCUUCGAGAAAUGGCCAGCUCCUUUGCUCUUCGUGAGCCUUCCCUCUAAAACAUCUCACGGACACCGCCCCCCAACACCAAUUAAAAUCCAGCUGCCCCUGGCUAAUACCCCAUAAGAACACAGGGCUUUCUGAAGAUACCGUUCCCAUGUACUGGAUGAUAUCCACGGUUGUAAGACCUAUCAUUCACGAUAAAGAGAGACUUACUUUACUCAGUAAGUCGUGUCCAAGGAACCAAAUUUUAGAAAAGCAAAUGCCGAUCACUGAGCCGAUUUUUUCUUUCAGAUACAUUUUACUGUUUAAAUUUACCUGAGGUAAACUGGGAAAGGAAGUGUUUCACAGAAUCUUCGUGGUACUGGAUUAUAGAAAGGAAGAAAGAAAAACUCAGAAAAAGAAAAUCCAUUAAUAUACUGUCAAUUUGAAGGGUUCCACAAGGACAACUGCCUUAAGAAAACACCAACCGAGAAGGGACCAUGGCUUUGGGAAAGGACCAGUUUCCACCCUUAACUUCAUCAGCGACCAUCUUUCUCAGGGAAUGAGAUAAUCUUCUGGUGGGGGGAGGGUAAGAAGAAAAGCAAAGGGAAACAGAAGUCAAGGACCGAAUAAAAUGGAUGCCAAGAAACCAGGGAGAUGAGAUUAAAAAAAAAAACUGUCA
Molecule: long non-coding RNA, 739 nt
Organism: Mesocricetus auratus (golden hamster)
Lineage: Eukaryota; Metazoa; Chordata; Mammalia; Rodentia; Cricetidae
Exons: 2
Source: RefSeq, a predicted model, not a curated record